RNAcentral lists this ribosomal RNA (568 nucleotides) under uncultured marine bacterium. RNAcentral describes it as "bacterial SSU rRNA". It matches the Rfam family "Bacterial small subunit ribosomal RNA", at positions 360 to 918 of the family's 1533-position model. The record is from RNAcentral.
AAUAUUGCGCAAUGGGGGAAACCCUGANGCAGCAAUGCCGNGUGAGUGAGGAAGGCCUUCGGGUUGUAAAGGCUCUGUCAAAUAGGAAGAAUUCCUCUGGGUCCAAUAGGCCUAGAGAUUGACGGUACUAUUAAAGGAAGCACCGGCUAACUUCGUGCCAGCAGCCGCGGUAAUACGAAGGGUGCAAGCGUUGUUCGGAUUUACUGGGCGUAAAGCGCGCGCAGGCGGAUUAAUAACCCAGAUGUGAAAUCUCGGGGCUCAACCCCGAAACUGCGUCUGGAACUGUUAAUCUAGAGUUAUGGAGGGGAGAGCGGAAUUUCGCAUGUAGGGGUAAAAUCCGUAGAGAUGCGAAGGAACACCAGAGCCGAAGGGGGCUCUCUGGCCAUCAACUGACGCUGAGGCGCGAAAGCGUGGGGAGCAAACAGGAUUAGAUACCCUGGUAGUCCACGCCGUAAACGAUGAGUACUAGGUAUUGGGAGUUUGACCCUCUCAGUGCCAAAGCUAACGCAUUACGUACUCCGCCUGGGAAGUACGGUCGCAAGACUAAAACUCAAAGGAAUUGACGGCU